RNAcentral lists this ribosomal RNA (730 nucleotides) under uncultured eukaryote. Its description in RNAcentral is "SSU rRNA". It matches the Rfam family "Eukaryotic small subunit ribosomal RNA", at positions 669 to 1426 of the family's 1831-position model. The record is from RNAcentral.
CGGGUGCACUGAUCCCAGCCGGGCCUUUCCCUCUGUGGAACCCCAUGGCCUUCACUGGCUGUGGUGGGGAAACAGGACUUUUACUUUGAAAAAAUUAGAGUGCUCCAGGCAGGCCUAUGCUCGAAUACAUUAGCAUGGAAUAAUAGAAUAGGACGUGUGGUUCUAUUUUGUUGGUUUCUAGGACCGCCGUAAUGAUUAAUAGGGACAGUCGGGGGCAUCAGUAUUCAAUUGUCAGAGGUGAAAUUCUUGGAUCUAUUGAAGACUAACUACUGCGAAAGCAUUUGCCAAGGAUGUUUUCAUUGAUAAGGAACGAAAGUUAGGGGAUCGAAGACGAUCAGAUACCGUCGUAGUCUUAACUAUAAACUAUGCCGACUAGGGAUCGGACGAUGUUAUUCUUUGACGCGUUCGGCACCUUUCGAGAAAUCAAAGUGCUUGGGCUCCAGGGGGAGUAUGGUCGCAAGGCUGAAACUUAAAGAAAUUGACGGAAGGGCACCACCAGGGGUGGAACCUGCGGCUUAAUUUGACUCAACACGGGGAAACUCACCAGGUCCAGACACAGUGAGGAUUGACAGAUUGAGAGCUCUUUCUUGAUUCUGUGGGUGGUGGUGCAUGGCCGUUCUUAGUUGGUGGAGUGAUUUGUCUGCUUAAUUGCGAUAACGAACGAGACCUUAACCUGCUAAAUAGCCCGUACUGCUUUGGCAGUUCGCCGGCUUCUUAGAGGGACUAUCGG